AACGCACAUUGCGCCCCGUGGUAUUCCGGGGGCAUGCCUGUUCGAGCGUCAUUACACCACUCAAGCCUCGCUUGGUAUUGGGCGCCGCGAGUACGUCCGCGCGCCUCAAAGUCUUCCGGCUAGGUUCGAAUCGUCCCUCAGCGUUGUGGCAACUAUUCGCAGAGGAGUUCGAGUCGUCGCGGCCGUUAAAUCCUUCAAAGGUUGACCUCGGAUCAGGUAGGGAUACCCGCUGAACUUAA
RNAcentral lists this unclassified non-coding RNA (239 nucleotides) under uncultured fungus. Its description in RNAcentral is "partial contains 5.8S ribosomal RNA, internal transcribed spacer 2, and large subunit ribosomal RNA". Lineage: Eukaryota; Fungi. The record is from RNAcentral.